RNAcentral lists this ribosomal RNA (274 nucleotides) under uncultured bacterium. RNAcentral's name for it is "partial 16S ribosomal RNA". It matches the Rfam family "Bacterial small subunit ribosomal RNA", at positions 523 to 796 of the family's 1533-position model. The record is from RNAcentral.
AUACGGAGGGGGCAAGCGUUGCUCGGAAUUACUGGGCGUAAAGGGCACGUAGGCGGACCGACUAGUCAGGUGUGAAAUCCCGGGGCUCAACCCCGGAACUGCACUUGAAACUACAUCUCUCGAGGAUAGGCGGAGAAAACGGAAUUCCAUGUGUAGCGGUGAAAUGCGUAGAUAUAUGGAGGAACACCAGUGGCGAAGGCGGUUUUCUAGCUUAUUCCUGACGCUGAGGCGCGAAAGCGAGGGGAGCAAACAGGAUUAGAAACCCCAGUAGUCC